RNAcentral lists this ribosomal RNA (499 nucleotides) under uncultured bacterium. RNAcentral's name for it is "partial 16S ribosomal RNA". It matches the Rfam family "Bacterial small subunit ribosomal RNA", at positions 29 to 523 of the family's 1533-position model. The record is from RNAcentral.
AUUGAACGCUAGCGGGAUGCCUUACACAUGCAAGUCGAACGGCAGCGCGGACUUCGGUCUGGCGGCGAGUGGCGAACGGGUGAGUAAUGUAUCGGAACGUGCCCAGUAGCGGGGGAUAACUACUCGAAAGAGUAGCUAAUACCGCAUACGCCCUACGGGGGAAAGGGGGGGAUCGCAAGACCUCUCACUAUUGGAGCGGCCGAUAUCGGAUUAGCUAGUUGGUGGGGUAAAAGCCCACCAAGGCGACGAUCAGUAGCUGGUCUGAGAGGACGAUCAGCCACACUGGGACUGAGACACGGCCCAGACUCCUACGGGAGGCAGCAGUGGGGAAUUUUGGACAAUGGGGGCAACCCUGAUCCAGCAAUGCCGCGUAAGUGAAGAAGGCCUUCGGGUUGUAAGGCUCUUUUGUCAGGGAAGAAACACCGGCUCUAACACAGUCCGGGAAUGACGGUACCUGAAGAAUAAGCACCGGCUAACUACGUGCCAGCAGCCGCAGUAA